This 253-nucleotide ribosomal RNA is filed under the name uncultured bacterium. Its description in RNAcentral is "partial 16S ribosomal RNA". It matches the Rfam family "Bacterial small subunit ribosomal RNA", at positions 524 to 776 of the family's 1533-position model. The record is from RNAcentral.
UACGUAGGGUGCGAGCGUUGUCCGGAAUUACUGGGCGUAAAGAGCUCGUAGGCGGUUUGUCGCGUCUGCUGUGAAAACGCGAGGCUCAACCUCGCGCCUGCAGUGGGUACGGGCAGACUAGAGUGCGGUAGGGGAGAUUGGAAUUCCUGGUGUAGCGGUGGAAUGCGCAGAUAUCAGGAGGAACACCGAUGGCGAAGGCAGAUCUCUGGGCCGUUACUGACGCUGAGGAGCGAAAGCGUGGGGAGCGAACAGG